RNAcentral lists this ribosomal RNA (368 nucleotides) under uncultured organism. Its description in RNAcentral is "bacterial SSU rRNA". It matches the Rfam family "Bacterial small subunit ribosomal RNA", at positions 526 to 896 of the family's 1533-position model. The record is from RNAcentral.
CGUAGGUGGCAAGCGUUGUCCGGAUUUAUUGGGUUUAAAGGGUGCGUAGGCGGCUUUGUAAGUCAGUGGUGAAAUACUCCAGCUCAACUGGAGAGGUGCCAUUGAUACUGCAGAGCUAGAGUACUGAUGAGGUAGGCGGAAUGGACGGUGUAGCGGUGAAAUGCUUAGAUAUCGUCCAGAACACCGAUAGCGAAGGCAGCUUACUAAAGAGUAACUGACGCUGAGGCACGAAAGUGUGGGGAUCAAACAGGAUUAGAUACCCUGGUAGUCCACACUGUAAACGUUGAUCACUAGAUGUUGGCGAUACACUGCCAGCGUUCCAGCAAAAGCGAAUAAGUGAUCCACCUGGGGAUACGCCGACAAGGGUG